This is a long non-coding RNA of Peromyscus leucopus (white-footed mouse), 1221 nucleotides long. RefSeq lists it as uncharacterized. The transcript is spliced from 2 exons. Lineage: Eukaryota; Metazoa; Chordata; Mammalia; Rodentia; Cricetidae. The record is from RefSeq and is a predicted model, not a curated record.
UGGACCAUGUGUGUGCAGAGCCUAUGGAGGCAAGAAGAGGGCAUUGGAUCCCAUCUAUAGGGACUAUAAUUAGGGAUGGUUAUGAAUCCCCAUGUGGGUGCUGGGAACUGAACCUGAGUCCUCUUCAAGAUCAACAAGUGCUAUUAACCACUAAGGUAUCUCUCCAACCCAUGUCCUAUCCCUCCUUUAAAUUUUUCUACAAUUCUCACUUGAUCACCUCUUACUUUUUUUGUCUCUGAUUAAAUUUCUCAAUUGAUCUUGUAUGUUGAUUACUGUGUCCACUAGGAUCUGGACUACAUGACUAAUAGCUAUUUGUAAAUUCAGUAAGUGUGCCGUAUCUGAUUGAUUUUGAUAGUUGUUAAGCUUCUUGGGUGAUAUAUACAAUUUGUUCUGGAAAUGGUAUACCUUCCUAGCUACUAGACCUUUAUAUGAGUGUAGAAUUUGGACAAAACUUUAAGCCUGUCUUUAUGAUUGAGCUCAGUGCCCCCUUUGAAUUCUUACAGUGAUAUCUCAUAUUUAGAAAAGGGAUUGACUUCCUUACCACAUCCGUGUCUUUGUGUCUUCAGCCUUAGGUGUUUUCUCCUAAGUUAUUCAGCAGAGAAUAUCAUUGUGAAUACUACUGUUACCUAAAGCUGGUUUGCUUAUUUGUUGUAUUUUUUUUCUGAGGAUAUGUGAACAAAGGUUUGUUUAUCUUAGCUAGGACAUCGAAGACAGACCAAGGCAUUGAUUCCACUCAGAUUAUUUUGAUAAUCCAGUGAGUUUAUUGGGCUGUAAGCAGAAGGAGCAAAGGAGAAGUAAUUUAUGGUGAAUCACUGAAAGUCCCUACUCUGUCACCCAUAAUGAGUGGUGACAUCAUAAAAGCUGUAUCACAGACUCUUACCUUCAGUUAACAUUCCAUCUCCUACAUUCUCCAGUACCUCACAUAUGCAGCUUGGUGGCUAGAGGGAGAAAUGCCUAAGAUCCCAGGAGACACACUAAACAAUUUAUUAUUUAUACUAAGCUACGAAGGAUUUGAGUGGCUGGUGGCAACAUGAGGCUUUCCCAGGAGAGAUGAAGUCACGGAAGGAGCCAAGGAUGCUGAGAACUUUCUGUGAAGGAGAUACAAGUGAGGAGUAAAGAAUGCCUGCAAGUCUGUGUUUGUCCAUCCUUCUGAAGUUGGGAGAAUUUACAUAGAACCCAUUCAAUUUCUUAGUGUUUUUACAUUAGGAAAAUGAAGCUUUA